Molecule: ribosomal RNA, 400 nt
Filed under: phytoplankton environmental sample
Lineage: Eukaryota
Description: partial small subunit ribosomal RNA
Rfam family: Eukaryotic small subunit ribosomal RNA
Source: RNAcentral
AGCUCCAAUAGCGUAUAUUAAAGUUGUUGCAGUUAAAAAGCUCGUAGUUGGAUUUCGGGGCAGCCUGGCUGGUCCGCCGCAAGGUGAGUACUGGUCAGCCGCCCUUCCUCUCGAAAGCCCCGACUGCUCUUUACUGCAGUGGUCGGGUAGUUCGGGACGUUUACUUUGAAAAAAUUAGAGUGUUCAAGGCAGGCCGUCGCCUGAAUACAUUAGCAUGGAAUAAUGGAAGAGGACCUCGGUCCUAUUUUGUUGGUUUCCAGGGCCGAAGUAAUGAUUAAGAGGGACAGUUGGGGGCAUUCGUAUUUAAUUGUCAGAGGUGAAAUUCUCGGAUUUAUGAAAGACGGACAACUGCGAAAGCAUUUGCCAAGGAUGUUUUCAUUAAUCAAGAACGAAAGUACGC